Long non-coding RNA from Saccostrea cuccullata (small rock oyster), 560 nucleotides. RefSeq lists it as uncharacterized. The record is from RefSeq and is a predicted model, not a curated record. NCBI's taxonomy places the organism in Eukaryota, Metazoa, Mollusca, Bivalvia, Ostreida, Ostreidae. The transcript has 4 exons.
AUGAUUCCUUUCCAUCGCCUGGAAAUACAUAGUCAGACAUUUGGAACGAAAUAUUUAUUGAUUUCCGAUGCUGUGCUGUACAUGGAGUGAAAUCUACAACAAAUGACUUUGAUUUGACCCCUUGGUGUACGAUUUCCGGAUCUUGUCAGCAGACCAACUCACAGCUACCGAGAUCUUGUUGUAAGGGUAUAGAUAAAUCAAGCUAUACAUUGGCUCCCGCUGAAUGCCAUGAAUUUGUCUACAGCGGUUAUUACAACGAAAAGGGCUGUUCUGCUUUAUGGCUAGAUGCAGUUAAAGACUAUACAGACGAGAAAAAACUGGUGUUUCUCUGUGGAAUUGUAGCUGCCGUGUCACAUGCUGUAUCACUGAUAUUCUCCCUUUGUUUGGUGUUGGCCUUAUUGGUAAUGAAUAAUAAACAAGUAAAAGGAAACGGAGUAGAGGACACAGAAGGGGAAAUAAAAGGAAAAACAUGACAGAAGGAGAGUGUGGAAUAUGAAACUCAAGGAAUAUUAUAUUCAAUUUGCAUGCGCAGCUAAAACGCCAUACAAUAAUUUGUUGAU